GGAAGAAAGCUUUGCUCCAGGUUGAUAUUUCAAUUUUCGAUUUUCUUCAUCAGAUUUGGUUUAUUUUUAUUUUAUUUUUUGUUGGAAUUAAACUAGGACCUCUAGAUUAGGAUUUUAAAGAAUUAAUAGUUUCCAAGCGGAUUAAGUGUAUUUCUUAGGUAUCUAUGAGUAAGCUAUUCAUUUCAAUUUGUUUCAAAUUGUUGGUAGGAUUUCUUAUUUUGAGGAUUUGAUUUAGGGAUUUUAAUCUUCUCAUGUAUGAAAAUUUUGACUAUUACUGUUUUUUGUUUUUUUUUUGUGUGAUUAAUAGGGAGAGAAUACAAAGAGAAAAUUUGAUGCCACGCCACUUUCUUCAACCUCCUCCCUCUUUGGGGUUGGUUUUAGAAAAAGAUGGAUUACCUGUGGAUUAAUAUAUGGAAUUACAGUUUAUGAAUUGUUUUUUUCUUUCUUCUAGCUGGUGUCUUUGCUGGGCUGUCCAAAAUGAGUGUUUCUUCAAAUGGCCUCAACACCCUGGGUUGUACGCUGCACAGAGAGAGAGAGAGAGAGAGAGAGAGAGAGAGAGAGGCAUGGGAAUGUGGGAUUGUAGUUUGGGCAUUUAGUUUUUGGUGAGAUUCUUUAUUUAUUAGACUUUAAUAAAUAUUUGAGAUUAAAGAGGCAAGAGAGAGAGAGGCAUGGGAAUGUGGGAUUGUAGUUUGGGCAUUUAGUUUUGGGAGACUUUGGAAAAGCCCAAAGGAGAGAGAAAAAUUUUAAAAGAAGCCAAAAUGGACAAAAUUACCCUUAUUUAUUUUUUGAUUUCCUAAGGAAUCCUUUACAUUUGCAUGUCUUUUGUUUGAAAGUUGAGAGGUUUUUCUGUCUUUUUUGAAAAAGCUUUGGCUUUUUCCAAAAGUGAAAGUUUUUUUUAUGGGUAAAACCUAAAUUUACUUUUAGUUU
Molecule: long non-coding RNA, 927 nt
Filed under: Prunus persica (peach)
Lineage: Eukaryota; Viridiplantae; Streptophyta; Magnoliopsida; Rosales; Rosaceae
Description: long non-coding RNA (PPER_LNC005664)
Source: RNAcentral